Molecule: ribosomal RNA, 497 nt
Filed under: uncultured bacterium
Lineage: Bacteria
Description: partial 16S ribosomal RNA
Rfam family: Bacterial small subunit ribosomal RNA
Source: RNAcentral
GAUGAACGCUGGCGGCGUGCCUAAUACAUGCAAGUCGAGCGAACAGAUGAGGAGCUUGCUCCUCUGACGUUAGCGGCGGACGGGUGAGUAACACGUGGAUAACCUACCUAUAAGACUGGGAUAACUUCGGGAAACCGGAGCUAAUACCGGAUAAUAUAUUGAACCGCAUGGUUCAAUAGUGAAAGACGGUUUUGCUGUCACUUAUAGAUGGAUCCGCGCCGCAUUAGCUAGUUGGUAAGGUAACGGCUUACCAAGGCAACGAUGCGUAGCCGACCUGAGAGGGUGAUCGGCCACACUGGAACUGAGACACGGUCCAGACUCCUACGGGAGGCAGCAGUAGGGAAUCUUCCGCAAUGGGCGAAAGCCUGACGGAGCAACGCCGCGUGAGUGAUGGAGGUCUUCGGAUCGUAAAACUCUGUUAUUAGGGAAGAACAAAUGUGUAAGUAACUAUGCACGUCUUGACGGUACCUGAUCAGAAAGCCACGGCUAACUACGUG